RNAcentral lists this ribosomal RNA (630 nucleotides) under uncultured bacterium. RNAcentral describes it as "bacterial SSU rRNA". The stretch from base 1 to 529 matches the Rfam family "Bacterial small subunit ribosomal RNA", at positions 338 to 873 of the family's 1533-position model. The record is from RNAcentral.
CCUACGGGAGGCAGCAGUGGGGAAUAUUGGACAAUGGGCGAAAGCCUGAUCCAGCAAUGCCGCGUGAGUGAUGAAGGCCUUAGGGUUGUAAAGCUCUUUUACCAGGGAUGAUAAUGACAGUACCUGGAGAAUAAGCUCCGGCUAACUCCGUGCCAGCAGCCGCGGUAAUACGGAGGGAGCUAGCGUUGUUCGGAAUUACUGGGCGUAAAGCGUGCGUAGGCGGCGAUUCAAGUCAGAGGUGAAAGCCUGGAGCUCAACUCCAGAACUGCCUUUGAAACUAGAUUGCUAGAAUCAUGGAGAGGUGAGUGGAAUUCCGAGUGUAGAGGUGAAAUUCGUAGAUAUUCGGAAGAACACCAGUGGCGAAGGCGGCUCACUGGACAUGUAUUGACGCUGAGGCACGAAAGCGUGGGGAGCAAACAGGAUUAGAUACCCUGGUAGUCCACGCCGUAAACGAUGAUAACUAGCUGCGACGGCGUCAUAGAGUCGUUUGGUUGGCGGCGAGCGUACGACGAUUAAGUUUAGUUCCGCCGUCGGGGUAAGGUACGGGUUCGGUUCGAGUAAGUUAAACGUUAACGUAAAGGAAGUUAGACGGCGUUGAGACGNGCCGACGGACGACGACGAGGGAGGAGG